RNAcentral lists this transfer RNA (65 nucleotides) under Dipodomys ordii (Ord's kangaroo rat). It matches the Rfam family "tRNA". From Rfam's summary of the family: Transfer RNA (tRNA) molecules are approximately 80 nucleotides in length. Lineage: Eukaryota; Metazoa; Chordata; Mammalia; Rodentia; Heteromyidae. The record is from Rfam by way of RNAcentral.
GGUGGCUCAGUGGUAGAGUGCUUGCCUAGCAUGCAUGAAACCCUGGGUUCCAUUCCUCAGCACCA